Lucilia cuprina (Australian sheep blowfly) is the source of this 721-nucleotide long non-coding RNA. RefSeq lists it as uncharacterized. The transcript is spliced from 2 exons. Lineage: Eukaryota; Metazoa; Arthropoda; Insecta; Diptera; Calliphoridae. The record is from RefSeq and is a predicted model, not a curated record.
AUUAUUAAAAAAUAUAUAUAAAUUAAUUACAACAAUAUUUCAUCAUUAUAACAAACAAAUAGAUGAGACUCCAGCAUUAAAGAAAAUAUUCCUGAAAUUUUUUCCACAAACUCACUUACAGACAUACCACAACACUUAAUUAUAUUCAACAACUACUAAAAAAAAACCAAGUAUUUUACACACAGUAAUUACAAGAAAAUUAACAAAAGAAAAAAUUACCAAAAAAAUAUAUAUAAAAAACUUAUAUUUAUUCCGAUUAUACACCUUUAAAAAAUGAAAAGAUAAAAAAAACAAACACACUGAACUUAAACCGGAAGAAGAAAAGUAAGAAAAAAACUAAAAAUUUUUUUGCCAAAAUAUCGUAAUAAAAAAAUAUAUAUUUAUUAACUAAUGACAUUAACAACAAAAAAAAAACAAAUUAUAUUACAACUUAGUUUUGUUAGAGAUUAUUGAAGUAAAAAGAAAAAAAAACAAAAAUAAGAAAAAAUCUCAAAAAUAUAUUAAAAAUUAACAAAAAAACUUUAAACAUUUUUAUUUAAAUAAACAAAAAAGUAUAUAUAUAUUAAAGAAAAAAAUGACUGGCAAGUGACCAAAAACGAUCUGGGUUUUCAAAAACAAAAAAUUAAUAAAUAACAAAAAAAUAUUUAAGUAAAACAAAAAUAAUUUUUAUACAAACAACAAGUAAAAAAAAAUUAUAAUGGGAAUUUAUAAACAAGUAAAA